AUAGCUUCCGUGUUCGACGGCUUCCGUUUGUUUCAAGUGGUUUUAUACCGAUGUUUGAACUGAACUCUCGGAGCCAAAAGAACUGUCCGCUAUGCGAAUUUUUCCGUCUAGUUCAGGUUCCGCUGUAGACAGUUUUCACUGUACAUACAUCUCAUUCUGAUGAUCAGAAACUGAAGGGAUGUGAUAACCAAGAGCUGAGAGCAUAUUUUGGCCUAAGGGAGAGAACUGCAUGAUAAGGACGCGCUGCAGUGUGUAUAUGUUUUCUAUCUGCUAAAAUAAAUUUGAAAUUCCGUCAGAAUAUUCCUACAGGUUUUCUGUUUGGCCCUAGGAUGGAGACGGACUACCUGAAGAUGGCGCACAAUCUGCAGAAGGAGCCCCACCUGCAGAAGGAGCCCCACCCGCAGAAGGAGCGCCUCCCGCAGAAGGAGCGCCUCCCGCAGAAGGAGCGCCUCCCGCAGAAGCAGCCUCACCUGCAGAAGGAGCCCCACCGGCAGAAGGAGCGACGCCUGCAGAAGGAACGGCGCCUUCUGAAGGAACACCACCAACAGAAGGGGUGACUCCCGCGGAAGGAGCGGCACCUGCAGAAGGGACGCCAGCAGCUGAAGGAGCGCCACCUGCAGAAGGCGCACCGCCUGCAGAAGGAGCACCACCCACAGAGGGGACGGUUCCCGAAGUACCACCUGCUACAGAAGGUGCUGCGCCACCUACUGAUGUUGCCCCUGCUGAGGCUCCAGUUACAGAAGCCCCUCCUCCAAUCGAAGCUGCAGCCUAGAUGUCGACACUCCGUUGAGGAGCGGAAGAGGUGCAAGCAGGGCCACAGAAGCGAUGUUAUGAAAACGUGUGAAACCAAACUCACGUCUUAGCCUCUUCUUUGCGACAGUAACGCCAUCUGAGGGGAGCGCAGGAAAUUAUUCUCUUCAGUCCGAUGUUGCUUCAUUGUUUCGCCGAUUCUGACAAAUAUGUUGGGACUGAUACUUUUUGGUGCUUCUAACUAAAAAUAACAAUUCGUUUCAUCUUUUCAUGUCGACACACAAAAUCUAAUUUUUUUUUAUGGUGGCUGGCGAAGUCACAUAGCAGCAACGGACCUUUUAAAGACAAACAAUUAACUUCAUCUGCAGUAACGUAUAAAAUAUAAAUGUUAUGUGUUAUUUACAAUUGUGUGGUGAGAAGUGUGAAUCUAGGUUAAUAUUAUUACGUUGGCUAGAUUGUUGUUUCAAUUGAAGUACAUGCAAUUAAAUCUGUUGGACAAGGUACAGUCACGGGGGAAAGAAAGAGCGCUUAAUUAACUUUAAAGAGUAUUGAAAUGCCACCAGGUGGCAGGAUGACACACACAUCCCGAUGCGUAAAUCAGCGUUUGCUUGUAUUCAACUAAUCUCGUGAACAGCUGCUCUGUUUGCAGGGAGCCAUCCUCAAAGGUCUACUAUUCUCUAGAAGAAAAAUCAACAUAAUUUCAAUAACAAUCACUAAAAUUAAGACCAAAUUAGUAUACAAAUUGGCAAAAUAGAAGGUAUACACACUGUUCUUCCGCCAUUUUCUUGUACUGUCAUGCCAUUGCAUAAGAUGGCUACGGAAUUCAUGUGACUAGCACCACUUUUUUUUUGAGAAUAUCACAUUACACACUUUACAUUGUAUUUCGGUUCAACUCUGUGGUUAUGUCCGUGUAUAUACACUAUUUUUGGGGCCCGUCUGUAUUUGUUAAGUAAAGGAACGUAGUAAGAAGCGGGAAUUAUGUUUCUCCCCCUGCAAAUAGUCGCUGUUGCAUUACGUAUUCAGUUUCAGAACCUUGCUGCUGUGUGUAUAGAGAUGUAUCUAACUGGGAAGUAACCAAAUAUUAUUUUGUUUUUGUCGCCUGCAGAAUGUCUGGGGAAAUAUACUCUGAUAUGGAUUAACAUAAUUGUAAGUGUAUAUAUCGGUUAGUUGGAAAUGCGAAGUAUAAAUCAGUAUUUUUACACGUGUCGGAACCUCUGAUUGCAUGUCAGUACACGAGUUCCGUGAUUCCAUCUAUAUAUAACAGACAGUCACGAUUUAGAAAUAUAGAAAAUAUAGAAAAAGACUAGUCAUUUCUUUGUUGUCACUAAGAGUAACGUCAUGUAAAUAACUCUGUUACUGCCCUCUUACAGUGUAAAUUGGUGGCUUUUGUAAUAAAGUCUGAAAUAUAUUGUUA
Molecule: long non-coding RNA, 2164 nt
Organism: Cryptotermes secundus
Lineage: Eukaryota; Metazoa; Arthropoda; Insecta; Blattodea; Kalotermitidae
Exons: 2
Source: RefSeq, a predicted model, not a curated record